AGUGAACGCUGGCGGCGUGCCUAAUACAUGCAAGUCGAACGGAGUGGCGCACGGGUGAGUAAUAUAUAGCUAAUCUGCCCCUUGCUGGAGGACAACAGUUAGAAAUGACUGCUCAUACUCCAUAGCAAGGGAUGAGACUAUAUCGUAUCAGCUAGUCGGUGGGGUAACGGCCUACCGAGGCUAUGACGCGUAACUGGUCUGAGAGGAUGAUCAGUCAAAUUUGAACUGAGACACCGUCCAGACUCCUACGGGAAGGGGCAGUAGGUAAUAGUGCGCAAGGGGGGGAACCCUGACGCAGCAACGCCGCGUGGAGGAUGACACUUUGCGGGGCGUAAACUCCUUUUGUUAGGGAAGCGGUACCUAACGAAUAAGCACCGGCUAACUCCGUGCCAGCAGCCGCGGUAAUUC
This 408-nucleotide ribosomal RNA is filed under the name uncultured bacterium. RNAcentral describes it as "partial 16S ribosomal RNA". It matches the Rfam family "Bacterial small subunit ribosomal RNA", at positions 29 to 526 of the family's 1533-position model. The record is from RNAcentral.